RNAcentral lists this unclassified non-coding RNA (298 nucleotides) under plant metagenome. RNAcentral describes it as "partial contains small subunit ribosomal RNA, internal transcribed spacer 1, and 5.8S ribosomal RNA". The record is from RNAcentral.
UUUCCGUAGGUGAACCUGCGGAAGGAUCAUUAUUGAAUGAACUUGGCGUGGUUGUCGCUGGCCCUCUCGGGGGUAUGUGCACGCCCGUCAUCUUUAUCUUUCCACCUGUGCACACUUUGUAGACUUGAAUAGUAUUUUCUGAGGCAACUCAGUCGGGAGGAUUGCUGGUAUUUAUCAGCUCUCCUUGCAUUAUUCAAGCCUAUGUUUUUCAUAUACCCCAAAAAUGUAACAGAAUGUAUCAUUGGGCCUUGUGCCUAUAAACUAUAUACAACUUUCAGCAACGGAUCUCUUGGCUCUC